AGACGGAGGGAAGACUAGGAUGAUACCUGGACGGCAGGUGAAGAAGGGCUGGGCGCAGCUGUCCAAGAUUAGGAGACUUUGUUUGUCCCCCCCAGGUCCAUGUGGGAAUGGAGCCGCCGUAUUAAUACUAAUACCGGAGACAGCAGUGAUCCAGUUCCAGUCCCACUUCCUCAACUGCCGGCUGGUGGUUUCCACCUGCAUGUGCUCAUCUCUUUACUCAUGCCCUAAGGACUCAACACCAGUGCCUGAUAGGAUCUACUGAGGAUGCUGAAACUCACUUGAUAGAUGUUCAAGCUCCCCACGCCUUCUCCAGCUGGUGGUCAGUAUUCUUAGGUCCAGCAUACCACCCACCAAGCAUCCUUGCCCGACUGACUAAGUGUUUUGUACCUGGACAAUUCAAAAGGGAAUGCGGAGGUUGCUCUAGCCUGUAUCUCCUCCUCUGGGCAGACCCAUAUCUCUGGGAUUCCACCAGCUCUUCUGACUAUGCCUCCUGUGUUCCCCACUCCCCGCUGUCAGGAAGCCCUUCCUUUUGCCCACUUUACAUCACUCACAUUGACGUUUGACCUCCACAUGGAAUUCCAAUGUGCCCCCGUUUUGUGACCAGGACUAGGCCCCCUUGACAUCUACGAGCUCAUGUGUACAUGGGGUAACUCUGAUAAAGCCAGCAUUAUUAUGCUUC
RNAcentral lists this long non-coding RNA (679 nucleotides) under Homo sapiens (human). RNAcentral describes it as "HSALNT0381822". The record is from RNAcentral. Lineage: Eukaryota; Metazoa; Chordata; Mammalia; Primates; Hominidae.